RNAcentral lists this ribosomal RNA (434 nucleotides) under uncultured bacterium. RNAcentral's name for it is "partial 16S ribosomal RNA". It matches the Rfam family "Bacterial small subunit ribosomal RNA", at positions 29 to 506 of the family's 1533-position model. The record is from RNAcentral.
AACGAACGCUGGCGGCAUGCUCAACACAUGCAAGUCGAACGAUUGCCUUCGGGUGUUAGUGGCUCACGGGUGCGUAACCGGUUGGAAUCCGCCCUUAGGACCGGCACAACACCUUGAAAUGGCUGCUAGUACCGGAUGCUAACGCGAGAUCAAAGAUGUGUCGCCUGAGGAUGAGCCCGCGAUGCAUUAGGUAGUGGGAGGGGUACACGCCUACCAAGCCGAGGAUCCAUGGCUGGUCUGAGAGGAGGCUCAGCCGCACUGGGACUGAGACACGGCCCAGACGCGUACGAGAGGUAGCGGUGAGUAAAAUUGGGCAAGAGGCGCAAUCCAGAACCAGCGAUGCCGCGUGAGUGACGAAGGGCCUAGAAAUGUAAAGCUCUUUUACCCGAGAAGAUAAUGACUGAACCGGGAGAAUAAGCCCCGGCAAACUCCUG